GAUGAACGCUAGCUACAGGCUUAACACAUGCAAGUCGAGGGGCAGCAUUACGGUAGCUUGCUACUGUAGAUGGCGACCGGCGCACGGGUGAGUAACGCGUAUCCAACCUGCCCAUGACUUGGGGAUAACCUUGCGAAAGCAAGCCUAAUACCCGAUACGCUUCAUAGAUGGCAUCUGAAAUGAAGUAAAGGUUUACGGUUAUGGAUGGGGAUGCGUCCGAUUAGCUUGUUGGCGGGGGUAACGGCCCACCAAGGCAUCGAUCGGUAGGGGUUCUGAGAGGAAGGUCCCCCCACAUUGGAACUGAGACACGGUCCAAACUCCUACGGGAGGCAGCAGUGAGGAAUAUUGGUCAAUGGAGGCAACUCUGAACCAGCCAAGUAGCGUGCAGGAUGACGGCCCUAUGGGUUGUAAACUGCUUUUAUGCGGGGAUAAAUUGACUCACGUGUGGGUCAUUGCAGGUACCGCAUGAAUAAGGCCGGCUAAUUCCGUGCCAGCA
This 496-nucleotide ribosomal RNA is filed under the name uncultured bacterium. Its description in RNAcentral is "bacterial SSU rRNA". It matches the Rfam family "Bacterial small subunit ribosomal RNA", at positions 28 to 513 of the family's 1533-position model. The record is from RNAcentral.